ACUAUGACGUUGUCUUUGCAUAUGGCAAUCCAGGGUUCCUUUAAGAAUGCAUUUAAUUACCAGGGCCAUGCUGCCUGGCCCCUGCAAGAUCCUUCCCUGGCAGAACCUUUCUCUGCAGGGAAGCUGGGGGCUAUGGCCGCAUCUGAGGAAGCUGUCCUAGUGCCUGCCCCAUCCUGUGCUUUCUGCUGAGCUGACUGCUGCCUGUGCUCAGCCUCCCUCCCGACUUUUGAUUGGAUUCCGGAAAGUCAUUCUUUGCGCUGCUUCCCAAUUUCUGAACAUCUGCGGCCUUGGGGUUCCAGCUGUGUGUCAGGGUGCUGAGAAUUCACAGAGAUGUUUCAAAGCCCAAGUCUUGUCUGAAGACGUAUUCCCAACCUGUGUCCCUUAGGUCUGUCAGACGUCCAACAGGGAAAUGGAAAAUGCCCACUGAGAUGCCCGAAUAAGCUGGUGUUUUAUUUCCAAAUGUUAACAGCAGGAAAAAGAAGAAAGAAAACUAGAAAACAAAAUUUAAGCAUCUUAAGAAGUAGAAUCCCAAUCUCUCUUUAUGUAUCUAUAAUGGACACCGCCACCACAGGAAAGAGACAUUAAUCCCUUACGCCCAAUAUAGACACAAAGUCUUAGUAAACGUGGAGUGUUCACCAGUUAUGAAUUGGAA
Erinaceus europaeus (western European hedgehog) is the source of this 652-nucleotide long non-coding RNA. RefSeq lists it as uncharacterized. The transcript is spliced from 4 exons. The record is from RefSeq and is a predicted model, not a curated record. Lineage: Eukaryota; Metazoa; Chordata; Mammalia; Eulipotyphla; Erinaceidae.